Molecule: ribosomal RNA, 481 nt
Filed under: uncultured bacterium
Lineage: Bacteria
Description: partial 16S ribosomal RNA
Rfam family: Bacterial small subunit ribosomal RNA
Source: RNAcentral
GACGAACGCUGGCGGCGUGCUUAACACAUGCAAGUCGAGCGGUAAGGCCCUUUCGGGGGUACACGAGCGGCGAACGGGUGAGUAACACGUGAGCAACCUGCCCUUCUCUUUGGAAUAAGCGUUGGAAACGACGUCUAAUGCCGAAUAUGACCCCCUGUCGCAUGGUGGGGGGUGGAAAGCUCUGGCGGAGAAGGAUGGGCUCGCGGCCUAUCAGCUUGUUGGUGUGGGUAAUGGCCCACCAAGGCGACGACGGGUAGCCGGGCGGAGAGGGUGACCGGCCACACUGGGACUGAGACACGGCCCAGACUCCUACGGGAGGCAGCAGUGGGGAAUAUUGGACAAUGGGCGAAAGCCUGAUUCAGCAACGCCGCGUGAGGGAUGACGGCCUUCGGGUUGUAAACCUCUUUCAGCAGGGACGAAGCGAGAGUGACGGUACCUGCAGAAGAAGGACCGGCCAACUACGUGCCAGCAGCCGCGGUAA